CGCACUAGUUCAGAGUUUGAUCCUGGCUCAGGAUGAACGCUAGCGAUAGGCUUAACACAUGCAAGUCGAGGGGCAGCAUAAGGGUAGCUUGCUACUCUGGUGGCGACCGGCGGAUGGGUGCGUAACGCGUAUGUAACUUGCCUCUGAGUGGGGGAUAACCCGGAGAAAUUCGGACUAAUACCGCAUAUUUUCUAUUGAUUGCAUGGUUGAUAGAAGAAAGAUUUAUUGCUCAGAGAUAGGCAUGCGUUCCAUUAGGUAGUUGGUGAGGUAACGGCUCACCAAGCCGACGAUGGAUAGGGGAGCUGAGAGGCUGAACCCCCACACUGGGACUGAGACACGGCCCAG
RNAcentral lists this ribosomal RNA (345 nucleotides) under uncultured bacterium. Its description in RNAcentral is "bacterial SSU rRNA". It matches the Rfam family "Bacterial small subunit ribosomal RNA", at positions 1 to 334 of the family's 1533-position model. The record is from RNAcentral.